CUAAAACUCUACCGUAAAAAAAAAAACUAUUUUUAAUAGUUAUACUUUAUGUCUUCGUUUGGUUCAGAAUUAAGUAAAAACUAGUUAUUUCAGGAAUAGAAUUAAUUUCUGGGUUAAAUCUGUGAUAGAUCAAUUUUGAGUUUGGAUUAUUAAUUGAGUUAUUCUGGGGAUUAAAGAAAAAUAGCGGCUAGAUAGAUAAAAUGGAAUAAAAAGAAUAGUGGGUAGUUAUAAAUAUAAAAUAAUAAUAUUGCCCAAAUUAUUAUAUUUGAAUUUAAAUUUUUUAUUUUUUUAUUUAAAAUUUCAAAUUAAAUAGACAACUUUUAUAAUUAAAAAAUUCAAAAUUAAAAUCUAUAUUUUUAAAUCUCAAAAUUAAAAAUUUAAAGUUAUAAAUUUUAAUUUUAAAUUUUAAAUCAAAUAUAACAAAUAAAAUUUCAAAUAAAAAAUGUCAAAUUUAAAAUUUAAAUAAUUAAAAAUAAAAUUUAAAAUUUAAAAUUUAAAAUUAAAAUCUGCAUUGUUAAAUCUCAAAUUUAAAAAUUUAAAUUUAUAACUUUUAAGUUUUAAAUUUUAAAUCAAAUCUCAAGUUACAAAUAUAAAAUUUAAAUAAUAAUCUUAAUCUAAAAUUUAAAUAUUUAUUUUAAAAUUUAAAAUUAUAAAUUUUUUAAAUUUAAAAUUUAAAAUUUAUAUUUAAAAAUUAAAUAGGGGUA
Molecule: long non-coding RNA, 704 nt
Filed under: Ananas comosus (pineapple)
Lineage: Eukaryota; Viridiplantae; Streptophyta; Magnoliopsida; Poales; Bromeliaceae
Description: long non-coding RNA (ACOM_LNC011730)
Source: RNAcentral